This 612-nucleotide ribosomal RNA is filed under the name Triticum aestivum (bread wheat). RNAcentral's name for it is "partial small subunit ribosomal RNA". Lineage: Eukaryota; Viridiplantae; Streptophyta; Magnoliopsida; Poales; Poaceae. The record is from RNAcentral.
AUGCAGAUUCUGCACUUCGACAUCAAGCCACACAACAUCCUUCUUGACAGCAAUUUUGUCCCAAAAGUUGCUGAUUUUGGACUUGCCAAACUAUACCCAAGGGACAACAGUUUUGUGCCAUCUAAUGCCUUACGUGGGACUGUUGGGUACAUAGCUCUGGAGAUGAUAUCCCGGAGCUUCGAUGCCAUAUCAAGCAAGUCAGAUGUUUACAGCUUUGGGAUGUUGUUGCUGGAGAUGGCUGGAGGAAGAAGGAAUGCUGAUCCAAAUGCGGCGAACUCAAGCCAGUCUUACUACCCAUCAUGGGUGUAUGACAAACUAGCUGCUCCAGUGGUGGAUGCGAUAUCUCUGGUUGCUGGCAUGCAUGAAUUUGAGAGGAGGCUGUGCAUCAUUGGGUUAUGGUGCAUUCAGAUGAAGUCGCACGAUAGGCCGACAAUGAGCGAGGUCAUAGAGAUGCUGGAAGGUGGCUUUGAUGGCCUGCUGAUGCCUUCCAGGCCAUUCUUCUGCGACGAUGAGCACACCGCUGUUCUAGAUUCUUACCCUUUGUUAUCCGAGCUGACCGAGAUCUCGGAGGAGGAUGAGAUCUCGGAUUCUUAUGUAUCCCGUGUCCUGUGA